Xiphophorus hellerii (green swordtail) is the source of this 1394-nucleotide long non-coding RNA. RefSeq lists it as uncharacterized. Lineage: Eukaryota; Metazoa; Chordata; Actinopteri; Cyprinodontiformes; Poeciliidae. The record is from RefSeq and is a predicted model, not a curated record. The transcript is spliced from 5 exons.
GAGGAUUACAGGGCGUCAGGUUGGCCAACAUGGACUCUUUUAGUGGGGAAACAAAAUGUUCCUCUCAGCACAAAGCCGCUCUAAUCCUGCCUCCUCUUCCCCCACGGCACAGCCUGAUUACAGAAAGCUGACAGGCCGGAAGACGGACGUUUCGGCAGACAGACGGGCUGAAAGAUUGACAGAUGGACGGGCAGGUUUGCUGUAUUUAAGCCAAGCUGGUCUCGUUGUUUGGUUGGUUAACAGACUGAUUAGUUUCUGGUUUACUCACUAACUUACUGAACCACCAGCUUUCCUGCUGCACUGGCUGCUUUCUACUAACUGACUCAGAUAAAACUGAUCCAGUUUCCAGACUCAUUGGGUAUCGCCUGAGCAGCUGUGGCCCGUCAGUACAACCAUAGUUUGGUUCUGCUAACCUGGCAAAUAAAUCCUGGGCACUGAUGUGGUCUGAAAGACAUAAACCUUAAAGAUGAUCCCAUUUCCUAAGGUUCCUUCCAAGCCUUGGCGUCUGCAUCCCUCAGCCCUCUUUGCCUCGCAGCAUCUUCAGUUCCUCCUCUGCACACAUCCAACCCAUCUCAACCUCGGCUCCAACUUUCUCCCCAGACCACUCAGCAUCUCUAUUAUUUAUCUCUUUUAUCACAAGAAAGAAAAUGCAGCUUGGGAAGCCAACUUAUCUAGAUGCAAUUAUACUUGACACUGUUGGUUGUUGUUUUCAAAUCCAGGAGUGGCAAUCAUUGUCCUUUCUGCUGAGUGUCUGGAUCGCAGAGCGUAGAGAUAAGGAAGACUGCAAAUGUUGGCUUCUGUGGUAGUGCUAAGAUGGUUUCCAUUCUGCAUGCUAGGAUAUAUUUGGUGUUUGAACUAUUAAAAAGGCAGUUAUAAAUUAUUUCAGAGGGAGUCUCAAGUAUUUGUAGAGUUCAUCUGUUUGUGCCCAGCAGCGGUCCAUAACUGCCACCAGGAUCAGAGAUCCACUGCGACACAAACAUCAGAUUUAAACGAUGGUUUCACUGAAGCUACACAACCAUCCCUGGUUCUGUGAAAGAAGGAAUCACCAUUUAAACCAGAGUUUGGUUUUGAGCCAUGAUGGAGUUUUUUCUAGUGAAGGGAUGAGGAUCAAUACAGACUCAUAAAAGAGCAGCUUCAGUCUUACAGAUGAUGCUGUGGUGUUAUAGAAAUGUCAGCUUUAACUGCCUACACAUAUCUCACCAUCUUCGACCUGUUCAGUUUGAUCACCUGUCUCAUCAGCUCCUGGGUGACGAUGAAGAAGCCCAGUCAGGUCUACUCAUUCGGGUUUGAAAGGUUGGAGGUUUUGGCCGUUUUUGCCUCUACUGUCCUGGUCCAGCUGGGAGCUCUGUUCAUCCUGAAGGAAAGUGUGGAGCGCUUCGUGGAGCAGCCGGAGA